Molecule: long non-coding RNA, 1205 nt
Organism: Mytilus trossulus (common blue mussel)
Lineage: Eukaryota; Metazoa; Mollusca; Bivalvia; Mytilida; Mytilidae
Exons: 4
Source: RefSeq, a predicted model, not a curated record
GUUUUUUGCACUUACAGAUACACUCUGUCCUUUUAUUGGUUCUGCUGUUCGGAAUGUAUCUUGUCCAAAAGUUGUUAUCAGACCGUCAACACAAAAGAAUGAGUCCUUAACAUCAGUAGACAGAUUUACCGACGGUAGAAGUAGUUAUUAUGAAGGAAGAACAUAUAGAUUAAUAUGUGUUUACUUCAGCUAAGCAUAAAUAAUUGUUAUGAUCUCUGUUCUAGCGGUAAUUGGAUUGUUAGAGUGGAAUGAUGUUUUAUAUGGCGAUCGUGUAACAGAUAACAACACGACAGUACAAUUAUUGGUAGAUCAAGAUGUAUCUGAUAAUUCGUUGAAAGAAACGGAAGGCGAUUCGAUAGAAAUUGAACGAUUACAAAAAGAAAAGAAUAGGAUGUUAAUGGGAGAAGUUGUAUCUGGAGACGAAAACGGUUAUAUCAAAUUUCUAACAUUUCUAAAAGCAUAUUCGGAAUAUGAUGACCUCGUUUAUGAAAUAGAAAACACAGUUGUAACAGAUGACGAUAGGAUAGCAUUUCAAAAUUGUCAAAUGAACACUGAACAUAGAGCUGUAAUAUGAACGAUGAUCAAAUCAUGUAUGACCAUGUGUGAACGAAACUUUUAAAAAUUAUUGGGACAAAACUCAAUUUCGGAUAAACAUGUUGUUCCUUCGAUACUAAGAAUUAUUUGUGUAAUUCAUUGCUAUACACAAAACUAGAACACGCCCGCAGAACCGUCGACUGACUUAAAGUAACUUUACCUUAUUUGAAGCCUUGAUUUCGAGCAUUCGUAUUGUCAUCUUAUAAAUUCAUGCUGGUUGUACGGUGAAGUUUAUCUGCUUACAUAAUAUUUUUCUAUGUUAACCCGUCUUAAUUUUCUUCUACAAUGAACUAACUAAUUUUUUUUCAUAUUGUUUCUCUUAAUUAACCAAAAUAAAUACUGAUGUUGAGGUGCAAAAAAAACAAAAUUGCUUUACAGCUUACUCUUGUGUACCAUAGACAUAAAACAACUACGGGAAAAGUUCCAGUUUCUCCUGAUAAGUGAGGAUUUUCGGUAUAACUUGACUGGGCGGUGUUUAACCGGUUCCAUUAUUUAAUACCACUCCAUCUAUAGACAGGUGUGUCCAGAUAAACUCACCAAUGAAGUGGUCAGUUAUUUGUCUUUUGAACUCCUGGAUAUUUUUAUAUCUCUGAAAUAAAUUUUAUCUCUUU